AUCACUUCUCGGCCUUUUGGCUAAGAUCAAGUGUAGUAUCUGUUCUUAUCAGUUUUCAUGCCGAUGGCCCGAAACACUGGUAUUGGGCCGGUGGGGAUGGGUGCUGCAUGGAGGGGACAGGUGUACUGGGGCGUUCCAGGGCUGGUCCUGAGGAAUCAGCUUAACGACUGCCCCGAUGCGACCUGUU
Small nuclear RNA from Hyla sarda, 187 nucleotides. RefSeq annotates it as U2 spliceosomal RNA. NCBI's taxonomy places the organism in Eukaryota, Metazoa, Chordata, Amphibia, Anura, Hylidae. The record is from RefSeq and is a predicted model, not a curated record. The transcript has a single exon.